Molecule: transfer RNA, 76 nt
Filed under: Heliobacteriaceae bacterium
Lineage: Bacteria; Bacillati; Bacillota; Clostridia; Eubacteriales; Heliobacteriaceae
Description: tRNA-His
Rfam family: tRNA
About the family: Transfer RNA (tRNA) molecules are approximately 80 nucleotides in length. Their secondary structure includes four short double-helical elements and three loops (D, anti-codon, and T loops).
Source: RNAcentral
GCGGGUGUAGCCAAGUGGUUAAGGCUCCGGAUUGUGGUUCCGGUAUUCGUGGGUUCAAUUCCCAUCACUCGCCCCA